GACGAACGCUGGCGGCGUGCUUAACACAUGCAAGUCGAACGGAAAGGCCCUGCUUUUGUGGGGUGCUCGAGUGGCGAACGGGUGAGUAGCACGUGAGUAACCUGCCCUUGACUUUGGGAUAACUUCAGGAAACUGGGGCUAAUACCGGAUAGGAGCUCCUGCUGCAUGGUGGGGGUUGGAAAGUUUCGGCGGUUGGGGAUGGACUCGCGGCUUAUCAGCUUGUUGGUGGGGUAGUGGCUUACCAAGGCUUUGACGGGUAGCCGGCCUGAGAGGGUGACCGGCCACAUUGGGACUGAGAUACGGCCCAGACUCCUACGGGAGGCAGCAGUGGGGAAUAUUGCACAAUGGGCGGAAGCCUGAUGCAGCAACGCCGCGUGCGGGAUGACGGCCUUCGGGUUGUAAACCGCUUUCGCCUGUGACGAAGCGUGAGUGACGGUAAUGGGUAAAGAAGCACCGGCUAGCUACGUG
RNAcentral lists this ribosomal RNA (468 nucleotides) under uncultured bacterium. RNAcentral describes it as "partial 16S ribosomal RNA". It matches the Rfam family "Bacterial small subunit ribosomal RNA", at positions 28 to 507 of the family's 1533-position model. The record is from RNAcentral.